RNAcentral lists this long non-coding RNA (286 nucleotides) under Populus trichocarpa (black cottonwood). Its description in RNAcentral is "long non-coding RNA (PTRI_LNC004572)". Lineage: Eukaryota; Viridiplantae; Streptophyta; Magnoliopsida; Malpighiales; Salicaceae. The record is from RNAcentral.
AGAAAGAGGAUUACUCUCUCAAAACCUUAGCACCUCUCUCUAAAGCUUCAUGAUCAAACCCAGCAGUGUUUUUCGUGGGUGACCAUUCCAAGGAGCUCUAGAUUACCCCCCGCCGUUGAUUGAGGCAAAGUGGAUGGCUGAGAUUGUACAGAAGAAGAAGACGAAGAAGAUUGAGGGGAAGGAGAAGGGUUUGAAGAAGAGAAAGGAGAGAAACUAAAAGGGCCAUCAGCAAAAAAAACAAAAUUUGAUUGAGAAAAGGAAAAGGAGGCUGCUAUUGCUGAUAUUA